CCUACGGGAGGCUGCAGUGGGGGAUAUUGCACAAUGGGGGGAACCCUGAUGCAGCGACGCCGCGUGGGUGAAGGAGCGUUUCGGCGCGUAAAGCCCUAUCGGCAGGGAAGAAGAUGACGGUACCUGGCCACGAAGCCCCGGCUAACUACGGGCCAGCAGCCGAGGUAAGAAGUAGGGGGCAAGCGUGAUCCGGAUUUACUGGGGGUAAAGGGGGCGUAGGGCGCAAUGCAAGCCAGGAGUGAAAGCCCGGGGCCCAACCCCGGGACUGCUCUUGGAACUGAAUGGCUUGAGUACAGGAGGGGCAGGCGGAAUUCCUAGUGUAGCGGUGAAAUGCGUAGAUAUUAGGAGGAACACCGGUGGCGAAGGCGGCCUACUGGACUGUAACUGACGUUGAGGCCCGAAGGCGUGGGGAGCGAACAGGAUUAGAUACCCUAGUAGUC
Molecule: ribosomal RNA, 440 nt
Filed under: uncultured bacterium
Lineage: Bacteria
Description: partial 16S ribosomal RNA
Rfam family: Bacterial small subunit ribosomal RNA
Source: RNAcentral